AGUGAACGCUGGCGGUAUGCCUAACACAUGCAAGUCGAACGGCAACACAGUAAGAGCUUGCUCUUACCGGUUGCGGGUGGCGUACGGGUGACGAAUGCAUCGUAAUCUACUUUUUCGUGGGGGUUAACGUAAGGAAACUUACUCUAAUACCGCAUACGCCCUACAGGUGAAAGCAUGGGAUCUUCGGACCUUUCGCGAAUGAAUGAGCCGAUGUCGGAUUUGCUAGUUGGCGGGGUAAACGCCCACCAAGGCGACGAUCCGUAGCUGAUGGGGGUGGAUGGUCAGCCACCCUGGAACUGAAACAGGGUCCAGAGUCCUACGGGAGGGAGCAGACGGGAAUGUUGGACAGCAGGCGCGAGUCUGAUCCAGCGAUAGGGAGCGGGUGGAGGAGGCCUUGGGUUUGUAAAGCCGUUCUGCUGGGAAAGAAACGCUGCAGGUUAAUACGCAGCGGUUCUGACGGUAACCAAAGAAUAAGCACCGGCUAACUACGUG
This 492-nucleotide ribosomal RNA is filed under the name uncultured bacterium. Its description in RNAcentral is "partial 16S ribosomal RNA". It matches the Rfam family "Bacterial small subunit ribosomal RNA", at positions 29 to 507 of the family's 1533-position model. The record is from RNAcentral.